RNAcentral lists this ribosomal RNA (506 nucleotides) under uncultured bacterium. Its description in RNAcentral is "partial 16S ribosomal RNA". It matches the Rfam family "Bacterial small subunit ribosomal RNA", at positions 29 to 523 of the family's 1533-position model. The record is from RNAcentral.
AGUGAACGCUGGCGGUAGGCCUAACACAUGCAAGUCGAACGGCAGCACAGGAGAGCUUGCUCUCUGGGUGGCGAGUGGCGGACGGGUGAGGAAUACAUCGGAAUCUACUCUGUCGUGGGGGAUAACGUAGGGAAACUUACGCUAAUACCGCAUACGACCUACGGGUGAAAGCAGGGGAUCUUCGGACCUUGCGCGAUUGAAUGAGCCGAUGUCGGAUUAGCUAGUUGGCGGGGUAAAGGCCCACCAAGGCAACGAUCCGUAGCUGGUCUGAGAGGAUGAUCAGCCACACUGGAACUGAGACACGGUCCAGACUCCUACGGGAGGCAGCAGUGGGGAAUAUUGGACAAUGGGCGCAAGCCUGAUCCAGCCAUACCGCGUGGGUGAAGAAGGCCUUCGGGUUGUAAAGCCCUCUUGUUGGGAAAGAAAUCCAGCUGGCUAAUACCCGGUUGGGAUGACGGUACCCAAAGAAUAAGCACCGGCUAACUUCGUGCCAGCAGCCGCCGCAG